ACUCAAAGGAAUAGACGGGGGCCCGCACAAGCGGUGGAGCAUGUGGUUCAAUUCGACGCAACGCGAAGAACCUUACCUGGGUUUGAACUGCAGGUGACCGCUCUGGAAACAGAGUUUUUCUUCGGAACGCCUGCAGAGGUGCUGCAUGGCUGUCGUCAGCUCGUGUCGUGAGAUGUUGGGUUAAGUCCCGCAACGAGCGCAACCCUUGCCCUUAGUUGCCAGCGGAUAAUGCCGGGCACUCUAAGGGGACUGCCCCGGAAAACGGGGAGGAAGGUGGGGAUGACGUCAAGUCAUCAUGGCCUUUAUGCCCAGGGCUACACACGUGCUACAAUGGGCGGCACAAAGGGCUGCGAACCCGCGAGGGGGAGCCAAUCCCAUAAAACCGUCCUCAGUUCGGAUUGCAGUCUGCAACUCGACUGCAUGAAGGUGGAAUCGCUAGUAAUCGCGGAUCAGCACGCCGCGGUGAAUACGUUCCCGGGCCUUGUACACACCGCCCGU
Molecule: ribosomal RNA, 498 nt
Filed under: uncultured bacterium
Lineage: Bacteria
Description: partial 16S ribosomal RNA
Rfam family: Bacterial small subunit ribosomal RNA
Source: RNAcentral